ACCAAGGAUGAAAACCCCAUUAAAUCAGAGGGCCUGUGUGGGUGUGAAGGAAACACCUGUCCCUCUUUUUAAUGGGAUUAUUAUGUCUGGGAAGUAAAGCAGUUGCUAUAAUACAGUGGUAGCUGUGAGGAACAGAAGCUCAUUGAAGGAACACAGGAGCGGCUCCAUGUUGAGUUACAGGAGCGACAUCCAAGCAGAAACCCCAAGGCAUCGUGGCGCACGCCUGUGAUCCCAGCAAGCAGGAGGCUGAGGCAGGAGGAUUACCACGAGUUCGAGGCCAGCCUGAGCUAUAUAGCAAGACCCUGUCUCCAAAACAAAACAAAAUAAACAAACAAAAACUUGCUCUUUCCACC
This 353-nucleotide long non-coding RNA is filed under the name Heterocephalus glaber (naked mole-rat). RNAcentral's name for it is "lncRNA (ENSHGLG00000044666.1)". The record is from RNAcentral. Lineage: Eukaryota; Metazoa; Chordata; Mammalia; Rodentia; Bathyergidae.